RNAcentral lists this long non-coding RNA (238 nucleotides) under Elaeis guineensis (African oil palm). Its description in RNAcentral is "long non-coding RNA (EGUI_LNC074168)". Lineage: Eukaryota; Viridiplantae; Streptophyta; Magnoliopsida; Arecales; Arecaceae. The record is from RNAcentral.
CCUUCUUGUAUGCCAAUUGGCAUUGGAUAGCUGAAAUAUCUUUAGAAAGUAAUAUAAGUUGUUGCUAAACUAAGAUUGUAGUGUGCUUAAGCUAAUAAAUUUGACUCUAUUCUGUGUUCUUGUACUAUAUGGCUUUUCUUCUAGAUGGUAUGGAGCUACUUAUAAUAAUAUAUUUUUAAUUGCUAGAAUUAAUUACAUUUUUUUUGAAUAUUUGCUUAAUUUUUUUAUGCUUUAUUCU